UGGAGAAAAGGCUGAUGGAGCUUAAUGAAACGCUACAGAAGGUCAGAGAUGGUUUUAUGGAGAAAUCAGCUGAUCUUGAGGCUCUGCAGAGGACUGCUGAUGAUCAGAAAAAAUCCAUGGAAGAGAUCCUACAGCAAAAUGUGGAAAAAGACAAGGAGAUUGUCUCGCUGAAGGCAGAAGUUGCCAAGCUCUCCCAGAAGUCCCCUGUGCAAGCAAAGACUAAGCGAGGCCUUCUCGCCAACAUCAGGGAGGCUGUCACAUCACCACGGAAGGGAACGUCUGCCCGAACACUGAGGAAAACGGGCAAGACUGUACACCAUUGAAAGCCCAGUUGUUGUACAACAACUGCACUCACCCGGUUAGUGCAUGAAAAUGUCCUCCUUUCAACUGAGGAAAAUUGCAUUUUGUUUUUAAGAACUUCCUUCGGAUUUGAAGAAAAUCCCCUUUAACUGAGAAUGAAAUGUGUAUUUUUGUGUGCGUGUCUUGUGCUAUAGUUUUUUUUUUGUUUUUUUUUUAAAUAAAAUAAAAUUGUACACUUAAUGCUUUACAUAUGAAGAUGCACAGAAAAUCUAAGCAAUCCCCUUCUGUUUUUAGAAGGCUUCGUUUCAAAGCUCCAUUGGUGUAAUGUGAGUUCAUGCUCACCGUAUAUGUGCUGUCUUUUUAUUUGGUCUAUAGACUUUUUCCACAUGAAAAAGCUCCUUCUGCAUCCACUGCUAUAGAAAUAUAACCUGCUUCUUCUAAGCAUGCAUUCAGUACAUGGAGCUGUUCAAAAUAAGGCCAUCCAUUUUCCAGAGCCUUCAGGGGAAAGUAAACCACAAAGAACCUUGAUAGGACAAAGCAAUCAUCUACAACUUUCAAUACUCUUAAGUGCAUCAGUGUGCUUUCUAAUCUGCUUAUUAGUUUAUCUUUACACACAGUCAAUUAAAAUCUUUAAUUCUCACCUAGUGCAAUGUACAACAAAUUUCCAACAUGCUAAUAAAAUAUUUAUGGAGUAUAUUGACCUUUACAGCUGAGUGAAGGAGGUGUAGCCACUGUGGU
Astatotilapia calliptera (eastern happy) is the source of this 1038-nucleotide long non-coding RNA. Lineage: Eukaryota; Metazoa; Chordata; Actinopteri; Cichliformes; Cichlidae. The record is from Ensembl.